UACAGAGGGGGCAAGCGUUGUUCGGAAUUACUGGGCGUAAAGGGCGCGUAGGCGGCCCUCUAAGUCAGACGUGAAAUCCCUCGGCUCAACCGGGGAACUGCGUCUGAGACUGGAAGGCUUGAAUUCGGGAGAGGGAUGUGGAAUUCCAGGUGUAGCGGUGAAAUGCGUAGAUAUCUGGAGGAACGCCGGUGGCGAAGGCGGCAUCCUGGACCGAUAUUGACGCUGAUGCGCGAAAGCCAGGGGAGCAAACGGG
RNAcentral lists this ribosomal RNA (253 nucleotides) under uncultured bacterium. RNAcentral describes it as "partial 16S ribosomal RNA". It matches the Rfam family "Bacterial small subunit ribosomal RNA", at positions 524 to 776 of the family's 1533-position model. The record is from RNAcentral.